CGGGUCCAAGUUUAGCUUGCAGUAUCUGAAGUGUAGUUUGCUCAUGUUGAACACUCAAGGAGUAUGCUUCCAUUAAAGAAAGAGCAAUUGCAAUAGCAUGAUAGCUGGCAGCAGUUUGAAUAUGAUCAGCUCCAAGAAGUCUCUGGUUACACUUAAGAGCCUCGUGAAGGUACCUGAGUGCAACAUGGACAUUUCCGAGACCUUCCUCCAUCAUUGCAACAUUUAUAUAUGUUGCAGCAGUAUUUGGAUGAGAAGGUCCACAUGUAAGAUGCAAAAGAUAGAGGGCACGAUUGACAUACUUUAAUGCCAACUCUGUGUGUUGAAGUCGGUAGUAGAAAACUGCUAAAUCUCCAUAACUCUUCAUUGUAUCUGGGUGGUCAAGUCCAAGUUCUCUUUCAUUAAUAUCCAAAGCUUUUUGUUGAUAGAUAGUAGCCUGAUUAAAAUCCCCAGUGUGGUAGAGUACCACAGCUAAGAGACUGUAUGCACCUGCUGUCAUUCGAUGGUAAGGACCACAUACAGAAACGAGUUUUGAGAGUGCCUUAGUUCCAAAAGUUACAGCAUCCUCCAGUUUGCCUUUAUCCAGAGAAGUUUUCGAUGAUUCCAG
RNAcentral lists this unclassified non-coding RNA (604 nucleotides) under Hevea brasiliensis (rubber tree). Lineage: Eukaryota; Viridiplantae; Streptophyta; Magnoliopsida; Malpighiales; Euphorbiaceae. The record is from RNAcentral.